GCCCCGAUGGUGGAACUGGCAGACACGCCCAACUCAAAAUCUGGUUCUCGCAAGAGAGUGGAAGUUCGACCCUCCCUCCGGGCACCA
Molecule: transfer RNA, 87 nt
Filed under: Nitrospirota bacterium
Lineage: Bacteria; Pseudomonadati; Nitrospirota
Description: tRNA-Leu
Source: RNAcentral